GCCCAUCUCGCUCAAAAGCUUUACAUCUUCCUGGUGGUUUAUCACAGUAAGUUUAGUACCGCCUUAUUGGUCUGGAAAUUCAUCCAUUUAACAUUACUUGGUCUCACAAACUAACCUUGUACUUAUGAUACUGAUCUGCAGUCACAUCAGCAGUGGCUCCAUCGGCAGAGUAGCCUGUGGAUGUUAAAACUCCAUGUUACAAUUCGCAAUGCGAUAAUGCGUGGUAGAUUCAGGCCCACAGGGUGUGGGGAAGCCGGUGAAUAAACCUGAGUGUGUGAAUGUAUCCCAGAUGCUGGGUUUUCUUCCGUCCUCUGCAACCGCGCCUUCAAUCUGGGAAAUCAGCGGAAUGUUCAGACCGGUACGCACAACAAAGUAUAUUAUACUGUACAAUUCAGCGAAGUAUCUUAUACAAUGUGAAAGCUUUUUUACUACUUGUAGUCCCAAUUCUGGUGAUUCAGACGGCAGAGGCUUAAGAGCAAAGGCAGUUAAAUUUGACCAUUCUAUCUAAAAAACAAUGAUAAUUUGGACCCUGUUUUCCUUUGUUUUGACCUUUUUCUGGACUCUCGGGUCCUAAUCCCUAGCAACAUAAGUGGAUCACUAUUAUUUUCUUCCCUCCACUAUUGAGAGCUUUGGUUUAUUUAUGGUUCCAAUCCUGCCAACACGACCGCCUAUUUGCAGCUUUCACUGAUUAAGAUGCUCUGUUUCGCUCCAGCCAAAAACAGAAAGAAGUAGCCGAAAGAGAAAUUAGCCUGGUGACAUCGAAAUGAAGUCGACGAAAGAAACUGGUGAGGAAACGGCAUUUGGGUUGUUUUCUGAAGACUAUAUGGGACGAAAACGUCGUUGGCGGGAACAGAGUGUAAGUAUAGGCUGCCGGUGACUGGUUGCUUAACUUUUUAUUAUUAUUUUAUAAUAAAGGGAGCAUCCUCCCAAUUUCAUUUAACUGAAAUCACCAUGUCUUUUUACAAACUACCAAAAGAAACUGGUUGCUUAACUUGGAUCGAGUUUAGGGAUGACAUUAGAAAGAAAGCUUUGUGUUGGUCAGAGUUGGACCCUGAAUUUAAGCAACUGCAUG
Molecule: long non-coding RNA, 1072 nt
Filed under: Triticum aestivum (bread wheat)
Lineage: Eukaryota; Viridiplantae; Streptophyta; Magnoliopsida; Poales; Poaceae
Description: long non-coding RNA (TAES_LNC007576)
Source: RNAcentral